UCGUACAGGUAGAUUGAUUUUAAAGUUCUACUUAGUAUUAAUUGAACCGUGAAUAUAAAAUGGCGACAUGAAAGAAUAGUAUGAUCAUGAUGGUGAAUUUUUGUUUUUUAGGUCCGGGUUGAGGUAUUCAACUUUUGGUGGCUAACAUUAACUGGUAAGUUGUGUAUAAUUUGUUCCAGUAGAUAUACCCAUUUUCGUUUAAAAAUAUUUCAAGUUAACCAAUAUCGAUUUGAAUUUGGUCGAUUAUCUAUUUAGCAACGGAAAAUCUCAUAAUAAAAUCAUAUGCAUUUUACACCAACAGAGCAUUCAUUGUCUAUCAUUUAAAUUUCAGACUAUUUUCUCUAUAUAACACGAUACUGUUUGAAUAGAAAGUGCCUGACCAAAAGGGUAGAGCUACAUUUUUUCGACCAGAUUGUUUUUGUUUGAACAAGAACACGAAAAUAAGUUGAAAAUAUAUUAUAUAGACACUGUGCCAUUUUAAAAUUUUUAAAUACCACAUGUUUGUUAUUUAAACAUUCAGCUUUUAUUCAAACAAUUUAAUUGUGUGUUACAUUUUGUAACAUGAUAAUAAUAAUAAU
This 578-nucleotide long non-coding RNA is filed under the name Mytilus galloprovincialis (Mediterranean mussel). Lineage: Eukaryota; Metazoa; Mollusca; Bivalvia; Mytilida; Mytilidae. The record is from RNAcentral.